Suricata suricatta (meerkat) is the source of this 358-nucleotide long non-coding RNA. RefSeq lists it as uncharacterized. The transcript is spliced from 3 exons. The record is from RefSeq and is a predicted model, not a curated record. NCBI's taxonomy places the organism in Eukaryota, Metazoa, Chordata, Mammalia, Carnivora, Herpestidae.
CUGAGCCACCCAGGCACCCAAGAGGCUUUUAAAAUUUUUCAGUGUCUGCACAAUUGGGCUCGAGGAUUACUGUUUCUCAGACGUUUUAAACGCCUUCCAAAUGUGAGAGCAGCAAGCUGUGUUCUUGCACAUUGCAUAUCCUGAAAUUCUUCAGCUUAACUAGGCCCACUGUCACUGCAUAAGUCUCUAGAUGGAUUAUGUUCGGUGAAAGCUGCGCGUAUUUUCCUGGCCACCCCCUCUGCAAUAAUCCAGUGCAAAGGUUCCAGCUCAUAUUUUCAGUGCAUGGGAAGAGGAGGGGCAGAAACGGUGAAACCAAAAUAAACAGAUGGGUGCCUUGACAAUCUGUAAGGCGCUCUUU